Molecule: non-coding RNA, 96 nt
Filed under: human gut metagenome
Description: THF riboswitch
Rfam family: THF (Tetrahydrofolate) riboswitch aptamer
About the family: THF riboswitch presents a pseudoknot that joins P1-P2 and the loop of P3 and two THF binding.
Source: RNAcentral
CAGAGUAGAAGGUCAAGCGUUAAGUGAUAAACAGACGGGGAGUUGCUGUUUAAACGAAAAGCGAAAAGCUUGCGGUUUGACUUUUGCAUCCCGCUG